This 429-nucleotide ribosomal RNA is filed under the name uncultured bacterium. RNAcentral's name for it is "bacterial SSU rRNA". It matches the Rfam family "Bacterial small subunit ribosomal RNA", at positions 355 to 776 of the family's 1533-position model. The record is from RNAcentral.
UGGGGAAUUUUGGACAAUGGGCGAAAGCCUGAUCCAGCAAUGCCGCGUGCAGGAUGAAGGCCCUCGGGUUGUAAACUGCUUUUGUACGGAACGAAAAGCUUCUGGUUAAUACCUGGGAGUCAUGACGGUACCGUAAGAAUAAGCACCGGCUAACUACGUGCCAGCAGCCGCGGUAAUACGUAGGGUGCAAGCGUUAAUCGGAAUUACUGGGCGUAAAGCGUGCGCAGGCGGUCUUGUAAGACAGAGGUGAAAUCCCCGGGCUCAACCUGGGAACUGCCUUUGUGACUGCAAGGCUGGAGUGCGGCAGAGGGGGAUGGAAUUCCGCGUGUAGCAGUGAAAUGCGUAGAUAUGCGGAGGAACACCGAUGGCGAAGGCAAUCCCCUGGGCCUGCACUGACGCUCAUGCACGAAAGCGUGGGGAGCAAACAGG